Mus musculus (house mouse) is the source of this 4714-nucleotide RNA transcript. It is a transcript of the gene named phosphodiesterase 4A, cAMP specific, with no coding region annotated. The transcript is spliced from 16 exons. The record is from RefSeq and is marked validated. Lineage: Eukaryota; Metazoa; Chordata; Mammalia; Rodentia; Muridae.
GCGGGGAGUCGCGGCUGGCGCCGGGUUCCGAGAGCGCAGCGGGCUCCAAGCGCCAGGAGGACACCGGCGCCGCCGCCGUCCGCGUUCUCCGUCCUUGGGCGCCAUGGCCCCACUGAGGCCAGGAGCUCCCGUGGGUCCCCAAGCACCUCGGCCGUGGCGCCACUGAGCUCGGACAGGCCAGGGGACGUUUUUGCCCCCGGGCACCCCACAAGACAGAGCGGGAGCCAUGGAGCCUCCGGCCGCCCCCUCGGAGAGGAGCCUGUCUCUCUCUCUUCCCGGGCCCCGAGAGGGCCAGGCCACCCUGAAGCCGCCCCCCCAGCACCUGUGGCGGCAGCCGAGGACCCCGAUCCGCAUCCAGCAGCGCGGCUACUCGGACAGUGCCGAGCGCUCAGAGCCAGAGCGCUCGCCGCACCGGCCCAUAGAGCGCGCCGACGCCGUGGACACUGGCGACCGGCCAGGCCUGCGGACUACCCGCAUGUCCUGGCCCUCGUCCUUCCACGGCACCGGUACCGGCGGAGGCAGCAGUAGGCGCUUGGAGGCAGAAAAUGGGCCAACACCGUCCCCUGGCCGCAGCCCCCUGGACUCGCAGGCGAGCCCGGGGCUUAUGCUGCAUGCCGGGGCAGCCACCAGCCAGCGCCGAGAAUCCUUCCUCUAUCGCUCAGACAGCGACUAUGACAUGUCACCGAAGACUAUGUCCAGGAACUCAUCCGUCGCCAGCGAAGCGCAUGGUGAAGACCUCAUUGUGACCCCGUUUGCCCAGGUGCUGGCCAGUCUCCGCAACGUUCGAAGCAACUUCUCACUCCUAACCAAUGUGCCCAUCCCCAGCAACAAGAGGUCCCCGCUGGGCGGGCCACCCUCUGUCUGCAAGGCCACACUGUCAGAGGAGACAUGCCAGCAGCUGGCCCGGGAGACCCUGGAAGAGCUGGAUUGGUGCCUGGAGCAGCUGGAGACCAUGCAGACCUACCGCUCUGUCAGCGAGAUGGCCUCACACAAGUUUAAAAGGAUGCUGAACCGGGAACUCACACACCUGUCGGAAAUGAGCAGGUCAGGAAACCAGGUCUCAGAGUACAUUUCCAACACGUUCCUAGCCUCAGAACAGAGAAGAGCAUUCCCUGCAGAAGGAUGGCCUCAUAGCAAACAAGCAGCACGAAGUGGAGAUCCCAUCGCCCACGCCGCGACAGAGACCCUUCCAGCAGCCCCCACCAGCAGCAGUGCAGCAGGCCCAGCCCAUGUCUCAGAUCACAGGGCUGAAAAAGCUGGUACACACCGGAAGCUUGAACAUCAAUGUCCCACGAUUUGGAGUCAAGACAGAUCAGGAGGACCUCUUAGCACAAGAACUGGAGAACUUGAGCAAAUGGGGCCUGAACAUCUUUUGUGUGUCGGAGUACGCUGGAGGCCGUUCACUCAGCUGUAUCAUGUAUACGAUAUUCCAGGAGCGGGACUUACUGAAGAAAUUCCACAUCCCCGUGGACACCAUGAUGACAUACAUGCUGACGCUGGAGGACCACUACCACGCUGACGUGGCCUACCACAACAGCCUGCACGCAGCCGAUGUGCUACAGUCCACACAUGUGCUGCUGGCCACGCCUGCACUGGAUGCCGUGUUCACAGACCUGGAGAUUCUUGCUGCUCUCUUCGCUGCUGCCAUCCAUGACGUGGACCACCCUGGCGUCUCCAACCAGUUCCUAAUCAACACCAAUUCGGAGCUGGCAUUGAUGUACAACGAUGAGUCUGUGCUUGAGAACCACCACCUGGCUGUGGGAUUCAAGCUGCUGCAAGAAGAGAACUGCGACAUCUUCCAGAACCUCAGCAAGCGCCAGCGGCAGAGCCUGCGCAAGAUGGUCAUCGACAUGGUGCUGGCCACAGACAUGUCCAAGCACAUGACCCUUCUGGCUGACCUGAAGACUAUGGUAGAGACGAAGAAAGUGACCAGCUCUGGAGUUCUCUUGCUGGACAACUACUCUGACCGUAUCCAGGUCCUCAGGAACAUGGUGCACUGUGCAGACCUCAGCAAUCCCACCAAGCCCCUGGAGCUGUACCGACAAUGGACUGAUCGCAUCAUGGCUGAGUUCUUCCAGCAGGGUGACCGAGAACGGGAACGCGGAAUGGAGAUUAGCCCCAUGUGUGACAAGCACACAGCCUCUGUGGAGAAGUCUCAGGUGGGCUUCAUCGACUAUAUUGUUCACCCACUGUGGGAGACGUGGGCCGAUCUCGUCCACCCCGAUGCCCAAGACAUCCUGGACACGCUGGAAGACAACCGGGAUUGGUAUCACAGUGCCAUCCGCCAGAGUCCCUCCCCAACCCUGGAAGAGGAGCCAGGAGUGCUCAGCGAUCCGGCCCUGCCUGACAAGUUCCAAUUUGAGCUCACCUUGGAGGAAGAGGAUGAAGAGGAUUCAUUGGAGGUUCCAGGAUUGCCUUGCACUGAGGAAACUCUCCUGGCUCCACAUGAUACCAGAGCUCAAGCCAUGGAACAGUCAAAGGUCAAAGGCCAGAGCCCUGCUGUUGUGGAGGUAGCAGAGAGUUUGAAGCAGGAGACAGCCUCAGCACAUGGCGCUCCUGAGGAGUCCGCGGAGGCUGUGGGCCAUUCCUUCAGCCUUGAAACCUCUAUUCUGCCUGACUUGAGGACCCUGUCCCCCUCAGAGGAGGCCCAGGGCCUCCUGGGCCUCCCCUCCAUGGCGGCAGAGGUGGAGGCCCCAAGAGACCAUCUGGCUGCCAUGAGGGCUUGUUCUGCCUGCUCGGGGACAUCAGGAGACAAUUCUGCCGUCAUCUCUGCUCCAGGCAGGUGGGGGUCAGGUGGAGACCCUGCCUGAUCCCUUUUCCCUUCACCCUCGGCUCCUCCCUCCUCCCCACACUCUCCACUCACCACAGACCACCUCAACGACUCCUGGCCCUCCUGAGAAAAAAGAAAACAGAAAAGUGGGGUUUUUUCUCUUUUCUUUUUUUCACCCUUCCCCCCCUGCCCUUGCCCACAGGGCCUUUUUGUUGAAGUGGGGUAUGGAGAGCCAGGAACUGAAGUCCCCCAAAAAAGGGAUUUUAUUUUUUUGAAUUUUAAUUGUAACGUUUUUAGAAAAAGAACAAAAAGAAAAAAAAAAAAAGAGUGAAACACAUCAGCUGUAGAUGCUCUCCCUCCCGGCCCCUGGGCCCACCUCGUUCCCUCAUCACCCUACCUAUCAACCUCAGUUCCAAGGCGCCAUCCUCCUGCCUCUUUUGAGACUUGCUCCUUGAGAUUCAAGCCUAGGUGUGGCACUGCCCUUUGGUCAGUCCCUCCAUACGGAGGGAGUCUACAACCCGAUUGGGAAUAGCCACCGGGAGAGGCUGUCACAGGAGAGGCUGGCCCACAGCAGGCCUCUCCCUGGCUCACUGUCCUCUACCACAAAGUCUUCCAUGUCUCUCCUCUCUGUUUUCUAUCUUUGUUUGUUCAACUCUGGCCACAUGGUGAAAGAGGUGGUCAGACGGGCUGUUGCUUUAUGAUCCAGGGACUCUUGGUUUCACCCCGACCACCAGCCUCAGCCUGGGGUCCCAAGUCUCAAUUCCCUUCUCUGGAUGCCAUCUUCCUGGUCCACUCUGGGUCACUUUGAAUUCUCUCCGUUGGAGGAAGGGGGCUCUGUUCCAUGCGCACAAACACAUCCUCCUUCCAGCUGCUUCUUCCUCUUGUUUCUGCCUUAACGAUUCCUGUGGCCAUAGGUGAAGUCUCCAUGGCUCCCUCCUGCUCCCUGGGUCCUAUCUCCCAGCAUAGAUGACACUCCUUUGCCAGCAUCCACUCAACCACCCUUCAGCCCCGUCACUCCACUCCCCUACACCAACUCUCAUUGCCCUAGGAGGAAGCAAUAAUGGUGGUACCACAUCCUCCCAUCCUGGGCAGCCCUCCCCCCCCAUCUUACUGAGCCUGACCCCCCACCCCCAGCCACAGGCAGUCCCUAAGCAAUACAGAUAGAGCAAGGCCAUUUUCUCCAAGCCAUGGGGGUGAGGGGACUUUUAAAAAGGAAUGAGCCCAUUUCCCCCUGCCACAUGGAACCAGUCUGCAGCAGGGCAGUGGGGGCUGUCAUUCCUCGCCUGCCCUGUUACAUCUCUGUACACGGUACUGUAGCCUCCACUCCAGGCUCCCCAGAUAUCCCUGUCUAACCCAUUAACCCACUCCCCACCCCCGAUGCUUACAGGGUUUUGAUUUAUUUGUGUAUUAAGCAAGAGUAGUUUCUGACCUAGCUGGUGAUGAGAAUGGGCCACCCUCCUUUCCAUGUGUGGGUUUUGUACAUACUGUAAGGUUGAUCUAUAAAUUAUUCUACUGAGACAAAAGGAGACAGUGAACUUGUUUUUCCCCGGUUGACCCCGUCCCAUUGGGAAGGCGAGGAGGGGUUCUCCGGGAGAGUAGCACCUCUCUGCUGUAUCAUACAAGCUGUACCAUAUUCCCUGAAUGUAGGGUGGGCAUGCUGUCGGUUUGUGGGAAGUUGUGUCAUAACUGAGGAGGGUUGGAGGUGGCUUGCCCUGUUCUCUUCCUUCUCCAAGAGCCUAAGAUAGGGUCCGAGGACUGACCAGACCCCUGGCCUCAGUCGGAUCCUCCCGCCAGGGUGGGUGUACACGUGAGCUGCCUAUGGUGUGUUGUCCACACUGACAGUUGAUCAAUUGGUCCGUCGAUUGACAAUCAGUCCUCCAGUCUUGUCCCUGAUUAAAGCGAGGCUGUCACCGGUGCUCCCGGCUGAUGGCUGAUAUGGCUUCA